This 494-nucleotide ribosomal RNA is filed under the name uncultured bacterium. RNAcentral describes it as "partial 16S ribosomal RNA". It matches the Rfam family "Bacterial small subunit ribosomal RNA", at positions 28 to 507 of the family's 1533-position model. The record is from RNAcentral.
GACGAACGCUGGCGGCGCGCUUAACACAUGCAAGUCGAACGGAAAGGCCUGCUUUCCCUUGUGGAUUGCGGGUACUCGAGUGGCGAACGGGUGAGUAACACGUGAGUGAUCUGCCCCCAACUUGGGUAUAAGCCUGGGAAACUGGGUCUAAUUCCCGAUAGGACUGCAGGGUGGUGCCUGUGGUGGAAAACGAUUUUCUAGUGGUUGGGGAUGAGCUCGCGGCCUGUCAGCUUGUUGGUGGGGUAAUGGCCUACCAAGGCGGCGACGGGUAGCCGGCCUGAGAGGGUGGACGGCCACAUUGGGACUGAGAUACGGCCCAGACUCCUACGGGAGGCAGCAGUGGGGAAUAUUGCACAAUGGGCGGAAGCCUGAUGCAGCGACGCCGCGUGGGGGAUGACGGCCUUCGGGUUGUAAACUCCUUUCGACCGCGAGGAAGCCACCUGGUUGGAAGGGUGGUGACGGUGGUGGUAGAAGAAGCACCGGCUAACUACGUG